GAUGAACGCUGGCGGCGUGCCUAAUACAUGCAAGUCGAGCGAACAGACGAGGAGCUUGCUCCUCUGACGUUAGCGGCGGGCGGGUGAGUAACACGUGGAUAACCUACCUAUAAGACUGGGAUAACUUCGGGAAACCGGAGCUAAUACCGGAUAAUAUAUUGAACCGCAUGGUUCAAUAGUGAAAGACGGUUUUGCUGUCACUUAUAGAUGGAUCCGCGCCGCAUUAGCUAGUUGGUAAGGUAACGGCUUACCAAGGCGACGAUGCGUAGCCGACCUGAGAGGGUGAUCGGCCACACUGGAACUGAGACACGGUCCAGACUCCUACGGGAGGCAGCAGUAGGGAAUCUUCCGCAAUGGGCGAAAGCCUGACGGAGCAACGCCGCGUGAGUGAUGAAAGUCUUCGGAUCGUAAAACUCUGUUAUUAGGGAAGAACAAAUGUGUAAGUAACUAUGCACGUCUUGACGGUACCUAAUCAGAAAGCCACGGCUAACUACGUG
Molecule: ribosomal RNA, 497 nt
Filed under: uncultured bacterium
Lineage: Bacteria
Description: partial 16S ribosomal RNA
Rfam family: Bacterial small subunit ribosomal RNA
Source: RNAcentral